GUGUCAGCAGCCGCGGUAAUACGUAGGCAGCGAGCGUUGUUCGGAGUUACUGGGCGUAAAGGGUGUGUAGGCGGUGCUUUAAGUUUGGUGUGAAAUCUCCCGGCUCAACUGGGAGGGUGCGCCGAAUACUGAAGUGCUAGAGUAUGGGAGAGGAAAGUGGAAUUCCUGGUGUAGCGGUGAAAUGCGUAGAUAUCAGGAGGAACACCUGUGGUGUAGACGGCUUUCUGGACCAUAACUGACGCUGAGACACGAAAGCGUGGGUAGCAAACAGGAUUAGAUACCCUGGUAGUCCACGCCCUAAACGAUGCAUAUUUGGUGUGGGCCAUUCAUUUGGUCCGUGCCGGAGCUAACGCGUUAAAUAUGCCGCCUGGGGAGUACAGUCGCAAGGCUGAA
RNAcentral lists this ribosomal RNA (393 nucleotides) under uncultured bacterium. RNAcentral describes it as "bacterial SSU rRNA". It matches the Rfam family "Bacterial small subunit ribosomal RNA", at positions 505 to 898 of the family's 1533-position model. The record is from RNAcentral.